RNAcentral lists this long non-coding RNA (5393 nucleotides) under Eucalyptus grandis. Its description in RNAcentral is "long non-coding RNA (EGRA_LNC002267)". The record is from RNAcentral. Lineage: Eukaryota; Viridiplantae; Streptophyta; Magnoliopsida; Myrtales; Myrtaceae.
AAAUUUCUGCGCUGAAGUUAUAAACCAACUGAAUUUGACAUGAUUUUAAGAAUUCUUAGCCUGCGAAAAAAACAUGGCAUAUGGUGUGAUUGAAUCAAGGAGAUCGAAUCUGAUAAGCACAUUAAAUUGAUUUACUUGUUCAAUUAGGCCGAAAGAGACAGAGGAGAUGCUCCAUCGUCGGUGGUGUGUUACAUGCGAGAAGCGAAUGUUCCGGAAGACAUCGCUAGGAAGCACAUCAAGGAAUUGAUAAACCAGGAAUGGAAAAGCAUCAAUGCUUAUUGCUUCAGCAAUGCCGAGACGCCCUUUGUCCGAACCUUCAUUGAUGUCACCGUGAACGCGGCUCGCGUUGCGCAUAUGCUUUACCAGUUCGGAGAUGGGUUUGGCGUCCAGGACGGUGAUAUUAGGCGGCAAAUUUUAUCUGCAGUGAUCCACCCUCUCGCUCUUAACUGAGAUAGCGCAAGUGUAAUCACAAAGCAAGUGCGUAAGCUAGACUAGCUGCUGCCGGUCGAAGGAUUUGAGUACUCCACGCAAAUUGUAUCCCAUGCUGCAUAUCGCACAAAGUAACCAUGUGCGUAGUUGGCCUGAUCCACAUAUAUCGCACUAUGAAAAGAAAUACUCGAGAUCGUAAUAAUCUGACCCUUCUCAUCUUAUGCAACGUUGAAUGUUGUAAAUGGCCAGUAAUGGUACAUUAUUUUUUUGCUAGGAUAACAGUCUUUGGUUUACUUCGAAAAUAAUAACUUGUUGUGAGCUAUAAAUAUUUGAUGGAGUGAAUUUUACAACAUUUUAUAAUGAUUUGUUAUUUGAUUUUUUUUGUGAUUCAGAAUAGAUUGUUAUUCUCACAGGCUGUCACCAAAUCAUUUCUCAUUUGUAAACUUCUUCUGUUGCCACCUAAUCAAUAAAACUCGAAGCACACGCUUAUGUCCUUCUCUUGAAUUAGUAAAGCCUCGACCAUGCGUGAUUUGAAAAAUCUUGGUGCUCUCCGGAGGUUAUUUCCCAAGGAGAAAGUUCUUGUUAAGGCGAUAGAGUAUCUCGAUCUACUGUACUAGAAUUGGAUCAUCAGCUGAAUGUGGCCAUGUGACGUGUGGCCCGGCAAUGCAAUGAAUCGGUAGGUCCCCUGACUUUUCUUCAUUUUCAGGCCGUUGCAGUCGCUUAGCCAUCAGUGGACAUGUAUCUUCUUGAAAGGGGUAACCUGGACGCCCGUCGCAAUCCAACGUCAGAUCGAUGUGCAAAUGUUAGUGUGGCACGUCUCUCUCAUGCUCCUAGGACGAUUUUUUUACUUUAGUGCCGACACUCCCACGUGAUGCCCAGACUCAUUCCAACAUUAUCGGCAUGCAUUCGAGAUUAAUUGCAUAACCCCAUUAUUCUAACAAUGAGCAUGCUCUCUUUCAUUGUUUAGAGUGUUAGUUUCUAUCGUACGUCCAAAUCUAUGGAGUAAAACUUUGAGAAAUUUUGAAAGAAUCGAAAACAGUUUCCCGUAUUAUGUCUUGGAAACAUUCGAGAGCAUAAAUUGACAUCGUAUCUCAAAUGCUGAAAUGAAAGGGGAAAAAAGGGAAUGGGACAAAUGCGGAAUCAACACCUCAUUUUUAAAUGAAGAGUGUGAUGAAGAUGGCAUGUGAAUCGAUGCAUGAGGAAUUAUCCACAUGAAAUAAAUUUAAGAUGGAAUACUGCACCGAAACCAUGUUAUUAUAUGUUGAAUUGAAAAGAUUGAACUUUUACUUAAAGUGAGAUGAUAAGGCACGCAAAGAUUCAUUCAUAAUCCCAUAAAUGAGUGAUAUCACGAUCAUGUUUUGAUUAGAGAGAUUCCCAUUAUUUUGGUAGUGCUUUAAUUUUUCAGUUGAGACAAUUAAUGAUCGAUCGAGAAAAGUCAAAACUGACAAACUCGUUUUAUAUCAUUGUUGGUAUGAAAAUGAUUGAACUCUUGGAGUACGGUAUUUGCUUUAAUUGCGUACAUCAAUGGUCAGCGCGUGGUCAUCGACUCAAAUCGCCAUCCAUCGAAUGAAAAAUCACUAUAGACAAGUGACUAACAUGUAGACAAGUGACUAACAUUGCUCGUACGAGGUACGAGGUUAAAAGAUCAUAAACACCUGGAGAAGGUCUCCCGUCGGUGAAAAAUCACUAUCCACUUGUGACAUGUCUCACGUACUUUUUAGGUCCGUGCAUUUAUUCAUCUUGUUUAUUUAGCCUAAUAAGGUUUGACUAACGUUAUAGCCUUCUAAGUUUAGCAUAAUUAAUCACAGGUGUUGCGCCAGUAGCCACUUUUCUCACAUGAAAAAAGAGAGGUGGGAAGUUUUUAGGGAGUUGGGGAUGUGAACCUUUAGUUUCAAGUGUGGAAUUCGACUCCCAUACUCUAUAAAAAGACAUGACAAAAGUCUGAGAGUGUGUUGAGAGUUAGAAUAUGACAUAUAAGAAAAAAGUUUAGCAUAAUCAACAAACCAAAAAAAAAAUAAUAAUCAUUAAUUCCAUUAAUACACACUAACUCGUCAUGAAGAAAAUCCAUAUGUAUGUGUGCGUAUGUGGAAGGUAGAUUGAGUUAUUUUUGUAUGAAAACAAAGUUAGAUUAAAGAUUUUGAAUAAUUCAACUAGAGGGAACAUAGGCACAUAAAUCACAACAAAUUUGGCAUUUAAUAUCAUAGAGUAAAGCAUAGAAACUAAUUUUUCAAUCUAGUGGGAGGCAUGGAUCCUCUACUAGUUUCAUAUUGAAUCAUGCCAAGAAAUUAAUGAAUGAACAAGUGCAUUUUCUUGUGAAAGAACAUGAUAUCAGACAAUAAUAAUCUAGAAAAUUGAAAGGUAAAUGAGACAUCGAAUUUACAUAAUUCGGGGGUGUGAAUUACUUUUGGAAGAGAAGUAUCGAAUUUCAUUAUAGAUCUAGUGAAAGAAUGGACAUUACAAACACAUUUGAGUUACUCAAACGUUUUUAGUAGCUUGUAUAGUGUUUAGCCCUCACAAUUCUUAACGAAACAAUCUCUCAAUCUUACAAAAGAAUACACAAAACUGAUCAAUGACAAAAGGUUUCUCCAAUUUAGGUGCAAAAGUGAACAAAACUCACGAGAAGAAUUUUUUUACCCAUUCUUGGCACAAACCAAGGCACAAACCCCCCCCCCCCCCAAAAAAAAAAAAACAACAACAACAACCUAAUUAGAGAACCUAUAUUAAUCCCAGGAGACCGACUCCAAUACGAACUCAGGUUUCGUUCAAUGGUUUCAAUCUCAAGACAUAUUUAUCAACACAAACAAUGAUUAAUUGUGUACCCACUUUAUUCCCAACUGAUUUCUUAAAUUCGAUUUUUUAGCUAGACGAAUGUGGCUUGCGUUUUGCCAGAUAGGCAUUUGUAGACAUAUCUAGUUUGGUUUGGCCUUACCCCGAACAAGCUUCUAAGAUUUGGUUUCAAGAUAUUUUGACGUGCUCUCAACAUGUGGCCGGAGGCAGGAACUGGUACCGAGGUUGCCGUGUGGGGCUCGUCAUGAGAACUAAAUUGAAACAGUUGCUCUCAAGCCCCAUCAACACGGUGAAGAAAGUGUCGUCCCCAUAGAGGUACUAUGAAAUUGGAUGCAUAUAAGCCACUCAAAGCUCAUGUGUCAUUAUUCCUUGACGGUAAUAUCUUCUGAGUCAUCAGUCAUCGUAGUUCUAAUAUUGAGUAUUAUCAGCAAUUAUUCUCGGUUCUGUCNNNNNNNNNNNNNNNNNNNNNNNNNNNNNNNNNNNNNNNNNNNNNNNNNNNNNNNNNNNNNNNNNNNNNNNNNNNNNNNNNNNNNNNNNNNNNNNNNNNNGUCGCAAGCAAUUUUAUAUAUGUUUCUCCACAAACCUUGUAUAACGUGCUUUCCAAAGAUUCACAAUCAACCAAAGGGUAGCAAUUGCUCGAUCUGACUUUUAUGCAAUAAAAAUGCUCUUCUUGAUUCAAUAUAUAUACAUACAUACUUCAAGACAUGAUUUUAUAAAACCAAAGAAGAUAUAGUACCACUCACCUCGUCGUCGACGACCAAACGACGAACGAUACUCGUAUCGUCGAAUUCAAGGUCCUAUCAAAUAACCGAGAAAAAUGUUAAAAUCUAAUAAAACACUGUCUCUACUUCGAAACAACUAAAUUACGCCUUAACUCUAACAAAAGGACUUCUACGCGCUAACAAAUCGCAUAACCAAAGUGAUUGUUCAAGCCAUUCGCAACACGAAAUUUAAGUGCAAAACUUGAUUGCGCCUUAACUUUCUCUUCCGAACUCCGAUCCAAACGUACUUAUAUUCAAUAGAGAGCCCUUGAAACAUAUCACAAGAAUCCCGACUUGGCCAUCCCAAAAUCAAGCUGAAAAAUGACAAAAUACGGGCCCAAAGCUGCUGGACGCGUACUGUUCACUGCGCGUGGGAAACUUUGAAAUUCUGUUUUGGACAAACCAUAAGCUCAAAUCACGAUCCGUAAAAUCCCACGGCUCCACAACACCCUAAAUUACCAUUCUUGCAAAAAUACGCGGCUCAACGACUCCAAAAUUAGACUUCGCCGCUCAGUUUUCCAAAAUUUUCGAAUUUAAGUCCUAAAUCCAAAAAUUACUUCAAUCGGACAAACAAGGGGCUUGAUCUCUUACCGGGUGCUGUGUUAUGGAGUCGAGUCGGCUUGGCGAGGCAUCCGAGACGUGCACGUGCCAAAAUUCCUUUCCUUUUUUUCCCUUUUUCUCUUCUCCUUCCUCUUCUUCGUCUUUUCUUUCUUUUCUUUUUGGUCGAGGGAACUCUCAGCUUCUAUUUAGCCGAGCCCUCUCCCCUCUCCUUUUUGUUUUACUGACUUUUCAGUUUCUUUUUCAGUUUCUUCUUUUGGGGCCCACUAACAUAAUAUUACAUUAUUGCAUAAUAUUACAGAAGCAAAGUGGGACAAUAUGGGCUACACACCAUCGCUGGAAGAGUACUUGAGCAAUGCGUGGACAUCAUCUUCAGGACCACUGAUCAUGUCUCACGCUAGUUUCUUUGUGGGACAUAUGAAUUGGGAGGAUGUAGCAGAUUUGCUGGAGAGAAACAAGGAUCUGAUUUAUAAUGUGUCCAUGAUAAUUAGACUCUGCAACGACCUUGGAACGUCAACGGUAAUUAUCAAAUUUCUGCGCUGAAGUUAUAAACCAACUGAAUUUGACAUGAUGUUAAGAAUACUUAGCCUGCGAAAAAAAACUCGGCAUAUGGAGUAAUUGAAUCAAGGAGCGAAUCUGAUAAGCACAUUAAAAUGAUUUACUUGUUCAAUUAGGCCGAAAGAGACAGAGGAGAUGCUCCAUCGUCGGUGGUGUGUUACACGCGAGAAGCGAAUGUUCCGGAAGACAUCGCUAGGAAGCACAUCAAGGAACUGAUAAACCAGGAAUGGAAAAGCAUCAAUGCUUGUUGCUUCAGCAAUGCCGAGACGCCCUUUGUCCGAACCUUCAUUGAUGUCACCG